Molecule: unclassified non-coding RNA, 230 nt
Filed under: plant metagenome
Description: partial contains small subunit ribosomal RNA, internal transcribed spacer 1, and 5.8S ribosomal RNA
Source: RNAcentral
GCUCCGUAGGUGAACCUGCGGAGGGAUCAUUACCGAGCUCAUGCCCUUACGGGUAGAUCUCCCACCCUGUGUUAUUAUUACCUUUGUUGCUUUGGCGGGCCGCCAGGCUCCGGUCAGGCUAUCGGCUUCGGCUGGUAAGCGCCCGCCAGAGGACCCUAUAUCCUGAUUAUUAGUGUCGUCUGAGUACUAUAUAAUAGUUAAAACUUUCAACAACGGAUCUCUUGGUUCUG